Arabis alpina (gray rockcress) is the source of this 98-nucleotide ribosomal RNA. It matches the Rfam family "Eukaryotic large subunit ribosomal RNA", at positions 2663 to 2762 of the family's 3401-position model. The record is from Rfam. NCBI's taxonomy places the organism in Eukaryota, Viridiplantae, Streptophyta, Magnoliopsida, Brassicales, Brassicaceae.
CGAAGAAGAGGAAGGAAGGCAGAAAUCUCGUGUGGAACAAAAGGAUAAAAGCUCGUUUGAUUCUGAUUUUCAGUACGAAUACGAACCGUGAAAGUGUG